This 301-nucleotide ribosomal RNA is filed under the name uncultured bacterium. Its description in RNAcentral is "partial 16S ribosomal RNA". It matches the Rfam family "Bacterial small subunit ribosomal RNA", at positions 509 to 809 of the family's 1533-position model. The record is from RNAcentral.
CAGUCGCCGCGGUAAUGCGUAGGUGGCAAGCGUUGUCCGGAAUUAUUGGGCGUAAAGGGCUCGCAGGCGGUUUCUUAAGUCUGAUGUGAAAGCCCCCGGCUCAGCCGGGGAGGGUCAUUGGAAACUGGGAAACUUGAGUGCAGAAGAGGAGAGUGGAAUUCCACGUGUAGCGGUGAAAUGCGUAGAGAUGUGGAGGAACACCAGUGGCGAAGGCGGCUCUCUGGUCUGUAACUGACGCUGAGGAGCGAAAGCGUGGGGAGCGAACAGGAUUAGAGACCCGCGUAGUCCCUGUCUCUUAUAA